Molecule: small nucleolar RNA, 178 nt
Filed under: Gorilla gorilla gorilla (western lowland gorilla)
Lineage: Eukaryota; Metazoa; Chordata; Mammalia; Primates; Hominidae
Description: Small nucleolar RNA SNORA73 family (ENSGGOG00000037566.1)
Source: RNAcentral
CCAUGUGGGUGACUGCUGGGGUCCCUUGAUGGCUUCCCCAGUGCAGUGGUGUACAGUCCUGUCCCACAACAUUGGAGAGGAGCUUGUCCCUGGUCAUGAAGACUGCUGCGGACACGUGUGUAUUCCUUAUCUUCUCAGUACUUAGUUGCUGAGGAGAAAAACCAUACAGGGCACAAUU